This 457-nucleotide ribosomal RNA is filed under the name uncultured bacterium. Its description in RNAcentral is "bacterial SSU rRNA". It matches the Rfam family "Bacterial small subunit ribosomal RNA", at positions 34 to 507 of the family's 1533-position model. The record is from RNAcentral.
CGCUGGCGGCGUGCCUAACACAUGCAAGUCGAACGGGGUAAUUCCUUCGGGGAUUACUUAGUGGCGAACGGGUGAGUAACGCGUGAGAAACCUGCCUUUCAGUGGGGGACAACAGUUGGAAACGACUGCUAAUACCGCAUAAUGUUAUUUAGGGGCAUCCCUGAAUAACCAAAGAUUUAUUGCUGAAAGAUGGUCUCGCGUCUGAUUAGCUAGUUGGUGAGGUAACGGCUCACCAAGGCGACGAUCAGUAGCCGGUCUGAGAGGAUGAACGGCCACAUUGGGACUGAGAUACGGCCCAGACUCCUACGGGAGGCAGCAGUGGGGAAUAUUGGGCAAUGGGGGAAACCCUGACCCAGCAACGCCGCGUGAAGGAAGAAGGCCUUCGGGUUGUAAACUUCUUUUAGCAGGGACGAAGGACGUGACGGUACCUGCAGAAAAAGCAACGGCUAACUACGUG